Molecule: ribosomal RNA, 492 nt
Filed under: uncultured bacterium
Lineage: Bacteria
Description: partial 16S ribosomal RNA
Rfam family: Bacterial small subunit ribosomal RNA
Source: RNAcentral
AGUGAACGCUGGCGGUAGGCCUAACACAUGCAAGUCGAACGGCAGCACAGUAAGAGCUUGCUCUCACGGGCGGAGAGUGGCGGACGGGGGCGGAAUACUUCGGAAUCUACAUUUUCGUGGGGGAUAACGUAGGGAAACUUACGCUAAUAACGCAUACGACCUACGGGUGAAAGCCGGGGAUCUUCGGACCUUGUGCGAUUGAAUGAGCCGAUGUCGGAUUAGAUAGAUGGCGGGGUAAAGGCCCACCAAGGCGACGAUCCGUAGCUGGUCUGAGAGGAUGGUCAGCCACACUGUAACUGAGACACGUUCCAGACUCCUACAGGAGGCAGCAGUGGAGAAUAUUGGACAAGGGGCGCAUGCCGGAUCCAGCCAUACCGCGUGGGUGAAGAAGGCCUUCUGGUUGUAAAGCCCUUUUGUUGGGAAAGAAAAGCAGCAGGUUAAUACCCCGCUGUUCUGACGGUACCCAAAGAAUAAGCACCGGCUAACUUCGUG